This 76-nucleotide transfer RNA is filed under the name Phycisphaerae bacterium. RNAcentral describes it as "tRNA-Pro". It matches the Rfam family "tRNA". From Rfam's summary of the family: Transfer RNA (tRNA) molecules are approximately 80 nucleotides in length. Lineage: Bacteria; Pseudomonadati; Planctomycetota; Phycisphaerae. The record is from RNAcentral.
UCAGGGCGUAGCUCAGCUUGGUAGAGCGCGUGGUUUGGGUCCACGAGGUCGCAGGUUCGAAUCCUGUCGCCCUGAU